This is a long non-coding RNA of Hyla sarda, 677 nucleotides long. RefSeq lists it as uncharacterized. The transcript is spliced from 3 exons. The record is from RefSeq and is a predicted model, not a curated record. Lineage: Eukaryota; Metazoa; Chordata; Amphibia; Anura; Hylidae.
CCAGUGCUGCAGGGCAGACGUUGUGAAAUGAUAGCUUAACUCUUAGUUUAAAAUUUGUAAAUGGGUGGUGUAUUUUGUAUCAAUAAAUAAUAAGUUGGUUCCCAGGCAUCUCCACCACGAUACCUGUCUGACACUGCACUUCUGAUCUGAUAUGACUGACUAAGAAAAAUAAAGAUAUCGAAGCUACGAUCCUGCAGAUAAUGGAUCUGAAAGAAGCUUUCCAGCAGUCAGAGGGUGCGCCCAAAAAGCAAAUAAAGUGAUGACACUUUGGCAGCUUCCACGAUUCUGCAGAGACAAGGCAUAGCUGGGAGAAGUCUUCAUGGAGGUGCAGGCAAGAUGGAGAAGAAAAGGAAAAGUGCACACUACUACUACUCUGAUUACAGAAGACAUCAUUUUGGGGUCUGUGUUAUGCAGAGAGGUGUUAUUUUGGCAAUCGUACGACUAAGAUUUCUUGGACAAUCAAAACAUGUCACUUUUCUCUCUGUCCUAUGUCAACUGCUGUUUUAUCUUCCUAAAGAGCUGCUGUGCUGAGCAAUCCCUUCCUUGAACUAUUUUUAUUGCGGUGUGGUCCGCAACGGUCCGGUUCACAUCAAAGCAUACAGGGGUGAGCUGAACUGCCUCUUUCUCUGUACUGUAUUUCAUUUUACUGUAUAUAUGCUUCAUCUGCAAUUGGAAAA